GAUGAAGAACGUAGCGAAAUGCGAUACGUAAUGUGAAUUGCAGAAUUCAGUGAAUCAUCGAGUCUUUGAACGCACAUUGCGCCCGCCAGUAUUCUGGCGGGCAUGCCUGUUCGAGCGUCAUUACAACCCUCAGGCCCCCGGGCCUGGCGUUGGGGAUCGGCGGAGCCCCCCGUGGGCACACGCCGUCCCCCAAAUACAGUGGCGGUCCCGCCGCAGCUUCCAUCGCGUAGUAGCUAACACCUCGCGACUGGAGAGCGGCGCGGCCACGCCGUAAAACACCCAACUCUUCUGAAGUUGACCUCGAAUCAGGUAGGAAUACCCGCUGAACUUAAGCAUAUCAAUAAGCGGAGGA
This 352-nucleotide unclassified non-coding RNA is filed under the name soil metagenome. RNAcentral's name for it is "partial contains 5.8S ribosomal RNA, internal transcribed spacer 2, and large subunit ribosomal RNA". The stretch from base 1 to 120 matches the Rfam family "5.8S ribosomal RNA", at positions 35 to 154 of the family's 154-position model. The record is from RNAcentral.